Molecule: transfer RNA, 72 nt
Filed under: Candidatus Kaiserbacteria bacterium RIFCSPHIGHO2_02_FULL_50_50
Lineage: Bacteria; Candidatus Kaiseribacteriota
Also listed under: 1 other name
Description: tRNA-Arg
Rfam family: tRNA
About the family: Transfer RNA (tRNA) molecules are approximately 80 nucleotides in length. Their secondary structure includes four short double-helical elements and three loops (D, anti-codon, and T loops). Further hydrogen bonds mediate the characteristic L-shaped molecular structure. tRNAs have two regions of fundamental functional importance: the anti-codon, which is responsible for specific mRNA codon recognition, and the 3' end, to which the tRNAs corresponding amino acid is attached (by aminoacyl-tRNA synthetases). tRNAs cope with the degeneracy of the genetic code in two manners: having more than one tRNA (with a specific anti-codon) for a particular amino acid; and 'wobble' base-pairing, i.e. permitting non-standard base-pairing at the 3rd anti-codon position.
Source: RNAcentral
GCCUGCGUAGUUCAAUGGAUAGAACAACCCCGUCCUAAGGGGAAAAUGUCGGUUCGAUUCCGGCCGCGGGCA